RNAcentral lists this ribosomal RNA (466 nucleotides) under uncultured bacterium. RNAcentral's name for it is "partial 16S ribosomal RNA". It matches the Rfam family "Bacterial small subunit ribosomal RNA", at positions 28 to 507 of the family's 1533-position model. The record is from RNAcentral.
GAUGAACGCUGGCGGCGUGCCUAAUACAUGCAAGUCGAACGGAAAGGCCACAGCCUGCUGUGGUUCUCGAUUGGCGAACGGGUGAGUAUCACGUGGGUGAUCUCCCCUGUACUUAGUGAUAAGCCUUGGAAACUGGGUCGAAUACCGGAUAGGAAUUAUUUGAGGGCGUGUGGUAGGAAAGCUUUUGCGGUAUGGGCUCAGCUCGCGGGCGAUCAGCUUCUCGUUGGAGUAAUGGCCUACGAAGGUCUCGACGGGUAGCCGACAUGUGAAGGUAUACGGCCACCAUGGGACUAAGGUACGGACCAGACUCCAACGGGAGGCAGCGGUGGGAAAUAUUGCACAAUGAGGGCAAGCGUGAUGCAACGACGCCGCGUGGGGGAUGACGGCCUUCGGGUUAUAAACUCCUUUCGAAGGGGACGAAGCGAAAGUGACGGUACCUAAAUAAGAAGCACCGGCUAACUACGUG